UACGUAGGUGGCAAGCGUUGUCCGGAUUUAUUGGGUUUAAAGGGUGCGUAGGCGGCCUUAUAAGUCAGUGCUGAAAUAUCCCGGCUUAACCGGGAGGGUGGCAUUGAUACUGUAGGGCUUGAGUACAGAUGAAGUAGGCGGAAUUGACGGUGUAGCGGUGAAAUGCAUAGAUAUCGUCAAGAACACCGAUAGCGAAGGCAGCUUACUAAGCUGUAACUGACGCUGAGGCACGAAAGUGUGGGGAUCAAACAGG
RNAcentral lists this ribosomal RNA (253 nucleotides) under uncultured bacterium. RNAcentral describes it as "partial 16S ribosomal RNA". It matches the Rfam family "Bacterial small subunit ribosomal RNA", at positions 524 to 776 of the family's 1533-position model. RNAcentral also lists the same sequence under 1 other name. The record is from RNAcentral.